AGUGAACGCUGGCGGUAGGCCUAACACAUGCAAGUCGAACGGCAGCACAGUAAGAGCUUGCUCUUACGGGUGGCGAGUGGCGGACGGGUGAGGAAUACAUCGGAAUCUACUUUUUCGUGGGGGAUAACGUAGGGAAACUUACGCUAAUACCGCAUACGACCUACGGGUGAAAGCAGGGGAUCUUCGGACCUUGCGCGAUUGAAUGAGCCGAUGUCGGAUUAGCUAGUUGGCGGGGUAAAGGCCCACCAAGGCGACGAUCCGUAGCUGGUCUGAGAGGAUGAUCAGCCACACUGGAACUGAGACACGGUCCAGACUCAUACGGGAGGCAGCAGUGGGGAAUAUUGGACAAUGGGCGCAAGCCUGAUCCAGCCAUACCGCGUGGGUGAAGAAGGCCUUCGGGUUGUAAAGCCCUUUUGUUGGGAAAGAAAAGCAGCAGGUUAAUACCCCGCUGUUCUGACGGUACCCAAAGAAUAAGCACCGGCUAACCUCGUG
This 492-nucleotide ribosomal RNA is filed under the name uncultured bacterium. RNAcentral describes it as "partial 16S ribosomal RNA". It matches the Rfam family "Bacterial small subunit ribosomal RNA", at positions 29 to 507 of the family's 1533-position model. The record is from RNAcentral.